UAGCUAGUUGGUGAGGUAAAGGCUUACCAAGGCGACGAUCUGUAGCGGGUCUGAGAGGAUGAUCCGCCACACUGGAACUGAGACACGGUCCAGACUCCUACGGGAGGCAGCAGUGGGGAAUUUUGGACAAUGGGGGCAACCCUGAUCCAGCCAUGCCGCGUGAGUGAAGAAGGCCUUCGGGUUGUAAAGCUCUUUCGGCCGGGAAGAAAUCGCAUGGGUCAAUACCCUGUGUGGAUGACGGUACCGGAAUAAGAAGCACCGGCUAACUACGCGCCAGCAGCCGCGGUAAUACGUAGGGUGCGAGCGUUAAUCGGAAUUACUGGGCGUAAAGCGUGCGCAGGCGGUUUUGUAAGACAGGCGUGAAAUCCCCGGGCUUAACCUGGGAACUGCGUUUGUGACUGCAAGGCUAGAGUACGGCAGAGGGGGGUGGAAUUCCACGUGUAGCAGUGAAAUGCGUAGAGAUGUGGAGGAACACCAAUGGCGAAGGCAGCCCCCUGGGUCGAUACUGACGCUCAUGCACGAAAGCGUGGGUAGCAAACAGGAUUAGAUACCCUGGUAGUCCACGCCCUAAACUAUGUCAACUAGGUGUUGGGUGGGUAAAACCAUUUAGUACCGUAGCUAACGCGUGAAGUUGACCGCCUGGGGAGUACGGCCGCAAGGUUAAAACUCAAAGGAAUUGACGGGGACCCGCACAAGCGGUGGAUGAUGUGGAUUAAUUCGAUGCAACGCGAAAAACCUUACCUACCCUUGACAUGCCAGGAACUUGCCAGAGAUGGCUUGGUGCCCGAAAGGGAGCCUGGACACAGGUGCUGCAUGGCUGUCGUCAGCUCGUGUCGUGAGAUGUUGGGUUAAGUCCCGCAACGAGCGCAACCCUUGUCGUUAAUUGCCAUCAUUUGGUUGGGCACUUUAACGAGACUGCCGGUGACAAACCGGAGGAAGGUGGGGAUGACGUCAAGUCCUCAUGGCCCUUAUGGGUAGGGCUUCACACGUCAUACAAUGGUCGGUACAAAGGGUUGCCAAGCCGCGAGGCGGAGCCAAUCCCAGAAAGCCGAUCGUAGUCCGGAUUGCAGGCUGCAACUCGCCUGCAUGAAGUCGGAAUCGCUAGUAAUCGUGGAUCAGCAAGUCACGGUGAAUACGUUCCCGGGCCUUGUACACACCGCCCGUCACACCAUGGGAGCGGGUUCCGCCAGAAGUAGGUAGCCUAACCGCAAGGGGGGCGCUUACCACGGCGGGGUUCGUGACUGGGGUGAAGUCGUAACAAGGUAGCCGUAGGAACCUGCGGCUG
This 1285-nucleotide ribosomal RNA is filed under the name metagenome. Its description in RNAcentral is "bacterial SSU rRNA". It matches the Rfam family "Bacterial small subunit ribosomal RNA", at positions 242 to 1520 of the family's 1533-position model. The record is from RNAcentral.